GGGCAUGUGUCUAAGUGAGGGAGUACUUGCCUGGCAUGCAUGAAGUCCUGGGUUCGAUUCCCAGCACCCA
This 70-nucleotide transfer RNA is filed under the name Ictidomys tridecemlineatus (thirteen-lined ground squirrel). RNAcentral describes it as "Spermophilus tridecemlineatus (thirteen-lined ground squirrel) tRNA". It matches the Rfam family "tRNA". From Rfam's summary of the family: Transfer RNA (tRNA) molecules are approximately 80 nucleotides in length. Their secondary structure includes four short double-helical elements and three loops (D, anti-codon, and T loops). Lineage: Eukaryota; Metazoa; Chordata; Mammalia; Rodentia; Sciuridae. The record is from Rfam by way of RNAcentral.